CUACGGGUCGCUCCAGUGAGGAAUAUCGCACAAUGGGGGGAACCCUGAUGCAGCAACGCCGCGUGGAGGAUGACACAUUUCGGUGUGUAAACUCCUUUUAUAUGUCAAGAAAAUGACGGUAGCAUAUGAAUAAGCACCGGCUAACUCCGUGCCAGCAGCCGCGGUAAUACGGAGGGUGCAAGCGUUACUCGGAAUCACUGGGCGUAAAGGACGCGUAGGCGGGUUGGAAAGUCAGGUGUGAAAUCCUACAGCUUAACUGUAGAACUGCACUUGAAACUUCUAAUCUAGAGUAUGGGAGGGGGAGAUGGAAUUAGUGGUGUAGGGGUAAAAUCCGUAGAUAUCACUAGGAAUACCUAAAGCGAAGGCGAUCUCCUGGAGCAUUACUGACGCUAAGGCGUGAAAGCGUGGGGAGCAAACAGGAUUAGAUACCCGCGUAGUC
RNAcentral lists this ribosomal RNA (439 nucleotides) under uncultured bacterium. Its description in RNAcentral is "partial 16S ribosomal RNA". It matches the Rfam family "Bacterial small subunit ribosomal RNA", at positions 339 to 795 of the family's 1533-position model. The record is from RNAcentral.